Molecule: transfer RNA, 73 nt
Filed under: Paramuricea clavata
Lineage: Eukaryota; Metazoa; Cnidaria; Anthozoa; Malacalcyonacea; Plexauridae
Rfam family: tRNA
About the family: Transfer RNA (tRNA) molecules are approximately 80 nucleotides in length. Their secondary structure includes four short double-helical elements and three loops (D, anti-codon, and T loops). Further hydrogen bonds mediate the characteristic L-shaped molecular structure. tRNAs have two regions of fundamental functional importance: the anti-codon, which is responsible for specific mRNA codon recognition, and the 3' end, to which the tRNAs corresponding amino acid is attached (by aminoacyl-tRNA synthetases). tRNAs cope with the degeneracy of the genetic code in two manners: having more than one tRNA (with a specific anti-codon) for a particular amino acid; and 'wobble' base-pairing, i.e. permitting non-standard base-pairing at the 3rd anti-codon position.
Source: Rfam by way of RNAcentral
GACCGCGUAGCUCAGUUGGCAGAGCAUUGGGCUAGUAUUCCAAAGGUCGUAGGUUCGAUUCCCACCGUUGCCA